This 47-nucleotide ribosomal RNA is filed under the name Heterobasidion irregulare. RNAcentral's name for it is "partial 28S ribosomal RNA". The record is from RNAcentral. Lineage: Eukaryota; Fungi; Basidiomycota; Agaricomycetes; Russulales; Bondarzewiaceae.
CUUGACCUCAAAUCAGGCGGGACUACCCGCUGAACUUANGCAUAUCA